This 322-nucleotide small nuclear RNA is filed under the name Sorex araneus (European shrew). Its description in RNAcentral is "7SK RNA (ENSSARG00000018282.1)". It matches the Rfam family "7SK RNA". Rfam says of the family: 7SK was discovered as an abundant small nuclear RNA in the mid-70s but a possible function has only recently been suggested. The record is from RNAcentral. Lineage: Eukaryota; Metazoa; Chordata; Mammalia; Eulipotyphla; Soricidae.
GCAAGAGACUCUCUGCAAUCUGGCUGUGACAUCUGUCACCCCAUUGAUCGCCAGGGUUGAUUCAGCUGAUCUGGCUGGCUAUGCGGGUGUCCCCUUCCUCCCUUCCUCCCUCACCGAUCCAUGUGCAUCCCUCCAGAAGCUGCGCGCUCGGUCGAAGAGGACAGCCUUCCCCGAAUAGAAACGGACAGGUCUUCGGUUGAGGGUAUAUGAGUAGCUGCGCUCCCCUGCUAGAACCUACAAACAAGCUCUCAAGGGUAAUAGCAACAGAACCUGAAAAUAAGUCUGCAGAACUGAGUUUGCCAAGGAGGUGGGAAGAGACCUU